UGUCGUCUGUUUUUCUUGGAGAGUUUCUUAAGUCAACUUAGAGGCUGGCCCUUGCCCAUGUGUUGAUUUGAAUGUUUUGUUGUCUUUCUGAAGGAAACCAUAUGCUCUCGCAUCUAUUUGUAUUGAUUGAUGGAGACUUGUUAGUAGUUGAUUGAGGAAGUUGGAUUCUUCGGGUGCUUUUUGAAGCUGUGGUCGAAAGAAGAAGAGGAGCAAGAAAAAGGAGGAGGCUUAUAAGUGAGAAGAUUGUGAUGAAUAUGAACAUGGAAGAAAUGAAAGAGAUUGAGAGGGUUGGGGGAGAAGGCAUGGAAGAAGUUAGAGAUGAGCCAGAGGAUAUCAAGAGGAUUGCUCCGUGGACUAAACAGAUUACAGUUAGGGGAAGGGGAAUUGUUGCUAGCAUAGCAAUUGGAAUCAUAUACAGUGUUAUAGUCAUGAAGCUGAAUCUCACCACUGGUCUAGUCCCAAAUCUCAAUGUCUCUGCUGCUCUUCUUACAUUUGUGUUCCUCAUAACAUGGAGUGGUUUUGGAUCUUAUCUACUGGGUUUGAAUAGGAAGACAUAUGAGCAAGCUGGGGUUGAUACAGAGGGGAAUACUCCUGGGAGCACUGGGGAACCUGGGAUUGGUUGGAUGACUGGUUUCCUCUUUGUAAGCAGCUUUGUUGGGCUACUUGCUCUAGUUCCUCUGCGAAAGUACAAACAAGAUAUCAAGUGGAUUUGACAUUAAAACAACACUAGAGGGGCAGAUUCAUGGUAUUAGAUUCCCUCUAGUUUUUUUUUAUUCCAUGUAUGUAAAAGGUCAAGCAUGCAAUGGUUUGUGUUAAUUAUAAAAUCAUUUAUGUUUUCCGCAAGUAUACUUGCCUCCUUUUGGGAACUUGAAUUCCAAACACCAAAUUCUGUUACCUCUUUCAAAGGGGAGUAAGUGACAAAUGAAUUCAGGUGCUGGAGGCAUUCUAGACAAAUGUAAAGGAUUUGGUCUUGCAGACAACUUGCAGCUAUCCAUUCAGGAGUUUAGAACAAAUCCAUUUUUGAUUUCUCGGGUGAUCUGGAAAAAUGAAACCAGCAACGCAUUCAGAGAGAGAAAAAUGCAUCUCUCAUGUGAAUUCAAGCAUCGAGCAAUGUGAGAAUUUAUGAGAAGCAGCACAAGGCUUGCAAGUGUACUUGCCUCCUUUUGGGAACUUAGCUAAGAUCCUCUGGCAUUUUUUUAUGAACCUCUUCCCUUCUCUCAUCCUCUUGUUUAUGAACAUAUACAAGGAAGAAUAGACAUAGCAUUACCUAUCUGGCAUUGAAAUAUAAGGUUUGAUCCUGCUAGGCUCCUUUUAAUAGAGGAUAUUCCUACCUAUAUAUCUUC
Populus trichocarpa (black cottonwood) is the source of this 1343-nucleotide RNA transcript. It is a transcript of the gene named metal-nicotianamine transporter YSL3, with no coding region annotated. The transcript is spliced from 5 exons. The record is from RefSeq and is a predicted model, not a curated record. Lineage: Eukaryota; Viridiplantae; Streptophyta; Magnoliopsida; Malpighiales; Salicaceae.